This 1653-nucleotide long non-coding RNA is filed under the name Heterocephalus glaber (naked mole-rat). RNAcentral's name for it is "lncRNA (ENSHGLG00100040988.1)". Lineage: Eukaryota; Metazoa; Chordata; Mammalia; Rodentia; Bathyergidae. The record is from RNAcentral.
CUCAGCCCUGCUGCCCUGCGACCUGCUGAGCGACCAGUCGGAGGACGAGGCGAUGCCCUCCGAGGAUGAGGGCCUCUCCGCGGUCGAGUACGUGAAGGGUUACCCACCCAACUCGCCAUACAUCGGCAGCUCCCCCACCCUGUGCCACCUUCUGCCCGUGAAGGCCCCGUUCUGCUGCCUGCGCCUGGACAAGGGCUGCAAGCACAACAGCUAUGAGGACGCCAAGGCGUACGGGUUCAAGAACAAGCUCAUCAUCGUCUCAGCGGAGACGGCUGGCAAUGGGCUGUACAACUUCAUGCCGUGCCACUGCGGGCCUACUACCGGCCGCGCAGGGAGCUCAACCCCAUCGUGCUGCUGCUGGACAACAGGCCUGACCACCACUUCCUGGAAGCCAUCUGCUGCUUCCCCAUGGUCUACUACAUGGAGGGCUCUGUGGACAACCUGGACAGCCUGCUGCAGUGCGGCAUCAUCUACGCCGACAACCUGGUGGUGGUGGACAAGGAGAGCACCAUGAGUGCUGAGGAGGACUACAUGGCUGACGCUAAGACCAUCGUUAACGUGCAGACCAUGUUCCGGCUGUUCCCCAGCCUCAGCAUCACCACGGAGCUCACGCACCCCUCCAACAUGCGCUUCAUGCAGUUCCGCGCCAAGGACAGCUACUCUCUGGCCCUCUCCAAGCUGGAAAAGGCCAGUGGCAGUGCCACCUGCCCACCAGGGACUAGCGAGCCUGAGGGCAGUGGAGACCCAGGACUGGGCAAGUUGCCAUGAGAGACUGCGGCCCCCCGCCAGAGCCACCGAUGCACACUGCUCCUCAUGAGCCUGCGGUUGCCAGGCUAGGCACAGUCCGGGGUGGCACUGUGCCUGUGGACUGGCUGGGAGGACCCGCCAGCACCGCCCACCUGAGCUGGGACUGGCUCUGUGUGGACAGAAGGGCCAGACACGAGCCCAGGACAUGGCCUUGUCCAGCCAGAAGCUGCACAGACGGCAGAGUCAGGCUCCAUUCGGCUGGGACCCUGGGUUCUGGCUGCGCUCAGGUGGAUGGACAUGGGUGGCUCCCGCCUGCCCGGCCCAGGCCCUGCCCACGUGGGAACCCUGCCCCUCCGGGAGCUGGACACAGACUUCACAUCCCAGAAGGAGGUCACACGGGGCAGCUUCGCCUCUUCAGCCACCUGGGUCGUGUUGGGGCUGAGGAGGGUGCUUGGUAUCUGGAGACCAAGCUGGGCGCAGGGCAGCAGUCAGUGCCGGCUCCCCGGGAACGAGCCCGGCCGCCCACGCAGCCUGGAAGGGGAGGUUGGCAGACAGCCUGGCACCAGCCUGUUCCACAGACAUCACCUGCUGUCACCACUUUCCACCUGAGCCCCUUCCCCUGGGUGCUGCCUGCCUGCUCCUCCACCUCCACAGGGCCCAUGGGGGGCUCUGUGAUGCUAGGGGACCAGCUGGGGUGCCGGGUCAUCAUUGUGGGCAACCUCAGGCUGCCAAGCCUCAGGAAGUGGCCUGGGGUGGGGUGGCAGGGUCCAUGGUCACACUGUGCCUGUGGGCACCAGGCCUGCAGAAGGCACGGGGCCCUCGACUUCUGGGCUUGGAGUCCCCAGGCCCCCCGGGCUCCCAGACAGGGCAGACAGAACUCCCGGCAGCAUGAGAGCCUCUUAAAAG